UCGACUAGAAAUAUCAAGAUGCCCAGCUUGAAGAUAUGCUACACGUCUUUCUAUCUUUGGAAAAUUAAACAACUGCAGUCAGCCGUCCCAUGGGAUGUACCAUGGCAAAACGACUGUACAAGUUUGUUCUCCAUUAUUUUCAAUGUCAUACGUGAUGGCACUUAAACCAAAGACGUGGAAAGAAAUUCCAAAACUAGUCCAUGAGAGGUGGGAGUCUGUUCAAGAAGCCAGGUUGGAGGCUGCUCAAGAAGCCAGGUAACUCAGAGCAACCCAUGCAGGGGUUUAACAGGGCAGAAAGGGCAAGGAUUAUAUUUGCUUCGAAUAAUGUUAUGUCAUGAUUGUAAUCAUUGGGCUUUGUUGAGCUUUGAUCUCUCUCUUGUUCAGAUACUUUUAAUCAAUCGGCGAAUCAAUUCAUCUCCGUCAA
Triticum aestivum (bread wheat) is the source of this 424-nucleotide long non-coding RNA. RefSeq lists it as uncharacterized. The transcript has 2 exons. NCBI's taxonomy places the organism in Eukaryota, Viridiplantae, Streptophyta, Magnoliopsida, Poales, Poaceae. The record is from RefSeq and is a predicted model, not a curated record.